AAUACGUUCCCGGACCUUGUACACACCGCCCGUCAAGCCAUGGGAGUUGGGUGGACCUGAAGAUGGUAACCGCAAGGAGCCAUUUAGGGUAAAACCAGCGACUGGGGCU
Molecule: ribosomal RNA, 109 nt
Filed under: uncultured bacterium
Lineage: Bacteria
Description: partial 16S ribosomal RNA
Rfam family: Bacterial small subunit ribosomal RNA
Source: RNAcentral